This 1303-nucleotide ribosomal RNA is filed under the name Pseudocyphellaria norvegica. RNAcentral's name for it is "partial 28S ribosomal RNA". It matches the Rfam family "Eukaryotic large subunit ribosomal RNA", at positions 79 to 1401 of the family's 3401-position model. The record is from RNAcentral. Lineage: Eukaryota; Fungi; Ascomycota; Lecanoromycetes; Peltigerales; Lobariaceae.
CUCAGUAACGGCGAGUGAAGCGGCAACAGCUCAAAUUUGAAAUCUGACCCCUUUGGGGCCCGAGUUGUAAUUUGUAGAGGGUGUUUCGGGCGCGGCGCCGGUCUAAGUUCCUUGGAACAGGACGUCAUAGAGGGUGAGAAUCCCGUAUGUGACUGGCGACCAAGCCCAUGUGAAGCCCCUUCGACGAGUCGAGUUGUUUGGGAAUGCAGCUCAAAAUGGGUGGUAAAUUUCAUCUAAAGCUAAAUAUUGGCCAGAGACCGAUAGCGGACAAGUAGAGUGAUCGAAAGAUGAAAAGCACUUUGGAAAGAGAGUCAAACAGUACGUGAAAUUGUUGAAAGGGAAGCGCUUGCAAUCAGACCGGUCCGGGGGCGAUCAGCCGCUGCUCGUCAGCGGUGCACUCGCCCUCGAUCCGGCCAGCAUCGGUUUGGGCGGCGGGAAAAAAGGCCCGGGAAUGUAGCUUCUUUCGGGGAGUCUUAUAGCCCGGGUCGUCAUGCCGCCCGCCCGGACCGAGGACCGCGCUUCGGCUAGGAUGCUGGCGUAAUGGUUGCAAGCGACCCGUCUUGAAACACGGACCAAGGAGUCUAACAUCUAUGCGAGUGUUUGGGUGUCAAACCCAGGCGCGGAAUGAAAGUGAACGGAGGUGGGAACCCUCGGGCGCGCACCAUCGACCGAUCCAGAUGUCUUCGGAUGGAUUUGAGUACGAGCAUAGCUGUUGGGACCCGAAAGAUGGUGAACUAUGCCCGGAUAGGGUGAAGCCAGAGGAAACUCUGGUGGAGGCUCGCAGCGGUUCUGACGUGCAAAUCGAUCGUCAAAUCUAGGCAUAGGGGCGAAAGACCAAUCGAACCAUCUAGUAGCUGGUUCCUGUCGAAGUUUCCCUCAGGAUAGCAGUAACGUUUUCAGUUUUAUGAGGUAAAGCGAAUGAUUAGAGGCCUUGGGGCUGAAACAGCCUUAACCUAUUCUCAAACUUUAAAUAUGUAAGAAGUCCUUGUUACUUAGUUGAACGUGGACAUUUGAAUGCACCGUUACUAGUGGGCCAUUUUUGGUAAGCAGAACUGGCGAUGCGGGAUGAACCGAACGCGAGGUUAAGGUGCCGGAAUGCACGCUCAUCAGACACCACAAAAAGUGUCAAUUCAUCCAGACAGCCGGACGGUGGCCAUGGAAGUCGGAAUCCGCUAAGGAGUGUGUAACAACUCACCGGCCGAAUGAAUUGGCCUUGAAAAUGGAUGGCGCUCAAGCGUGCUACCCAUACCUCGCCGCCAGGGUAGAAACGAUGCCCUGGCGAGUAGGCAGGCGUGGAGGUCCG